RNAcentral lists this non-coding RNA (28 nucleotides) under Bombyx mori (domestic silkworm). The record is from RNAcentral. Lineage: Eukaryota; Metazoa; Arthropoda; Insecta; Lepidoptera; Bombycidae.
GUGCAGAAGACUGUGUUGGAGAUGAUGC